UACAGAGGUCUCAAGCGUUGUUCGGAUUCAUUGGGCGUAAAGGGUGCGUAGGCGGUGGGGUAAGUCAGGUGUGAAAUCUCGGAGCUCAACUCCGAAACUGCACUUGAUACUGCCCUGCUAGAGUACUGGAGAGGAGAUUGGAAUUUACGGUGUAGCAGUGAAAUGCGUAGAUAUCGUAAGGAAGACCAGUGGCGAAGGCGAAUCUCUGGACAGUUACUGACGCUGAGGCACGAAGGCCAGGGGAGCAAACGGG
Molecule: ribosomal RNA, 253 nt
Filed under: uncultured bacterium
Lineage: Bacteria
Description: partial 16S ribosomal RNA
Rfam family: Bacterial small subunit ribosomal RNA
Source: RNAcentral